GACGAACGCUGGCGGCGUGCUUAACACAUGCAAGUCGAACGGAAAGGCCCUGCUUUUGUGGGGUGCUCGAGUGGCGAACGGGUGAGUAACACGUGAGUAACCUGCCCUUGACUUUGGGAUAACUUCAGGAAACUGGGGCUAAUACCGGAUAGGAGCUCCUGCUGCAUGGUGGGGGUUGGAAAGUUUCGGCGGUUGGGGAUGGACUCGCGGCUUAUCAGCUUGUUGGUGGGGUAGUGGCUUACCAAGGCUUUGACGGGUAGCCGGCCUGAGAGGGUGACCGGCCACAAUGGGACUGAGGUACGGGCCAGGCUCCUUCGGGGGGCAACCGGGGGGAAUAUUGGACAAUGGGCCGAAGGCUGGUGCAACAACGCCGCGUGGGGGAAGACGGCCUUCGGGUUGUAAACCGCUUUCGCCUGUGACGGAGCGUGAGUGACGGUAAUGGGUAAAGAAGCACCGGCUAACUACGUG
Molecule: ribosomal RNA, 468 nt
Filed under: uncultured bacterium
Lineage: Bacteria
Description: partial 16S ribosomal RNA
Rfam family: Bacterial small subunit ribosomal RNA
Source: RNAcentral